UGAGAAAGGGGAUCUCUCACAAAUGUUGUGCUGGUGAGUGUCCUGCCCGCCGGGCAAUGUACGAUAAGGUAAAGAAGAACAAGGUAAACUCUCACGACGAAGGAUUAGGGCUUGUAGUUUAGAGUUAUAGACGACGGAUGAACCUCCCGGAACUACAGGUCUAGGAUCCAAUUCUCGGAGGCCAUGAAAGUGGGUAUGAAAGAUACGGGAUCCCUUUCCCUACUUCUGUCACGGGUACGUUGUGUUUUUUUUAUAACCUUUACUUUCUGGGUAAUCUUCGGCAGGCGUAUAUCACAUGACGGUAAACUGGCAGCGCUGUGGGGUCGGAGCAUGAGCCAUUUCCAGACUUCAAGGCUUCCUUCCUCCAAGACGGAGCCCUCAAGUUGCGCUUUGCAGGCGCUGGAGCGACCCUGUGCAGGUUUGUCAUAGUGGGUUUGAUUUCUGUGUGCGUGUGUGCGUGCGUGCAAACGCUGAAGGUGAAGAAUUCGAAUCGCAUGUAGCGCUUCCUUAUGUGUUUGCGAUAGAACUAGGUGGAAACCAGGAGCUAUGGGAUUGAGGUGCAGGCAUCCCGAAGCUGGGUGAGAGCGCGAGCUAUUGUUUGCAACCACAUGGUGCCGAUGCUCUCUCUUUGUGCUCGCCCGACUCAUGCUCAUGAGCUACGAAAUGCGGUUUUUGUUGAAUUGGGUGGGUGUAGGAGAACCACAGAGAGUAAGUAGUAUAUUGUAGCAAUGGUUGAUCCAAACUCGAUGCGAUGCUUCACUUGAUUCGACACUGUUGUAUCUCAAUAACCCAACACUCCAUUCAUCGACGCUGUAAUAUAUCUUACCAGAAACAUGGGGCAAGUGCAUUCGAAAUCGGAGACUGAACAUGUGAGAUGGCAUGUGUCGGUGAGGGAUGUGUAGUGGUGUGGUGGUGGAACGAUCUGCAUAUUUAUUUGCAACUUUGGGGUGCAGAUAAGGAUGCGGUGGUCAACCAAGCAAUAUCUUUUGCGGUGAUGAUACAGGUGCAUUAUAAUUAUUAUUACUAUUGUUACUUGUUUUACAUUAUUCUUUCAUGUUUUGGUUUGUUUUGUUAUUACAACUGUUGUGUUUUGUUUUGUAAUGACUUGCACAAGUCAGCACUGCUCAUCUUGCAAUUACAAUCGUCUUCUUCCUGCUCUUUUUCUUUCUUCUUCAUCAUCAUUCUUUUCCCUUUCCUCUCCCUUUUGUUCUCUAAUUUGUUUUAGACUUUGGGAUUGAAGUGUGGCUUUUGCAAACCAACGAGGUAGUUUGUCUAGCGAAUAAGUGAAAUAUCGUGUGUAGGAACAAUGGUGUUCUGAUAGUCCAGUUUUGUGGUUUUUAUUUUAUUUAUUAAAAAAGAAAAAAGCGUUUGCUCCCAUGUU
Non-coding RNA from Physcomitrium patens, 1381 nucleotides. The record is from RefSeq and is a predicted model, not a curated record. NCBI's taxonomy places the organism in Eukaryota, Viridiplantae, Streptophyta, Bryopsida, Funariales, Funariaceae.